Long non-coding RNA from Rhipicephalus microplus (southern cattle tick), 447 nucleotides. The record is from RefSeq and is a predicted model, not a curated record. Lineage: Eukaryota; Metazoa; Arthropoda; Arachnida; Ixodida; Ixodidae.
UGGCAGGGUGGGUACAUCAACCUAUAUAUUGGGAUAGAAACAUGCUCUGUUGACCAAUUGAGGGGGAAGUUGACUGCAAACCGGUUGGAGGGCUGCAUGACGCUGAUGACAUGGUGGUCGCUUCAAAUAAGGCUUGUCUGAGGCUCCCAAUAGGGCUUGUCUGAGGCUUGUAUGAGGCUCCGAAUCGGAGCCUCAUACACGUGUUCGUCAUGGUUCUGGUUGUCCUGACUUUACCGCUUGCGCUAACAGCUGCAAGCAAGAAGGAAAACAAGGAGGAACGUGUCUUCCUUCUUAUAUGUUCUCCUGCGUUUGUUUGGAGGUGGUGUGCAUGCUUUACCAACAAGACAAUAAAGAUAUUGAUACGAAACAGCCGCCAAACUAGGCUGCAUGAAAGAGGAAGACAAAGUCAGUUGUCAUUGGAUGCUGGUCUGGCGCCAUCUUGCUCGU